This 461-nucleotide ribosomal RNA is filed under the name uncultured Actinomyces sp. Its description in RNAcentral is "bacterial SSU rRNA". It matches the Rfam family "Bacterial small subunit ribosomal RNA", at positions 338 to 795 of the family's 1533-position model. Lineage: Bacteria; Bacillati; Actinomycetota; Actinomycetes; Actinomycetales; Actinomycetaceae. The record is from RNAcentral.
CCUACGGGAGGCAGCAGUGGGGAAUAUUGCACAAUGGGCGCAAGCCUGAUGCAGCGACGCCGCGUGAGGGAUGGAGGCCUUCGGGUUGUGAACCUCUUUCGCCAGUGAAGCAGGCCUGUCCCUUGGUGGGUGGGUUGACGGUAGCUGGAUAAGAAGCGCCGGCUAACUACGUGCCAGCAGCCGCGGUAAUACGUAGGGCGCGAGGGUUGUCCGGAAUUAUUGGGCGUAAAGAGCUCGUAGGCGGCUGGUCGCGUCUGUCGUGAAAUCCUCUGGCUUAACUGGGGGCUUGCGGUGGGUACGGGCCGGCUUGAGUGCGGUAGGGGAGGCUGGAACUCCUGGUGUAGCGGUGGAAUGCGCAGAUAUCAGGAAGAACACCGGUGGCGAAGGCGGGUCUCUGGGCCGUUACUGACGCUGAGGAGCGAAAGCGUGGGGAGCGAACAGGAUUAGAUACCCCAGUAGUC